UACGGGGGGGGCAAGCGUUGUUCGGAAUUACUGGGCGUAAAGGGCUCGUAGGCGGCCAACUAAGUCAGACGUGAAAUCCCUCGGCUUAACCGGGGAACUGCGUCUGAUACUGGAUGGCUCGAGUUUGGGAGAGGGAUGCGGAAUUCCAGGUGUAGCGGUGAAAUGCGUAGAGAUCAGGCGGAACACCCGUAGCGAAGGCGGCCAGCUGGGCCGUCCCUGACACUGAGGCGCGAAGGCGUGGGGAGCGAACGGG
Molecule: ribosomal RNA, 253 nt
Filed under: uncultured bacterium
Lineage: Bacteria
Description: partial 16S ribosomal RNA
Rfam family: Bacterial small subunit ribosomal RNA
Source: RNAcentral